Molecule: transfer RNA, 73 nt
Filed under: Rickettsiales bacterium
Lineage: Bacteria; Pseudomonadati; Pseudomonadota; Alphaproteobacteria; Rickettsiales
Description: tRNA-Phe
Rfam family: tRNA
About the family: Transfer RNA (tRNA) molecules are approximately 80 nucleotides in length.
Source: RNAcentral
GCCCGGAUAGCUCAGUUGGUAGAGCAUAAGAUUGAAAAUCUUUGUGUCAGUGGUUCAAUUCCACUUUCGGGCA